This 253-nucleotide ribosomal RNA is filed under the name uncultured bacterium. RNAcentral's name for it is "partial 16S ribosomal RNA". It matches the Rfam family "Bacterial small subunit ribosomal RNA", at positions 524 to 776 of the family's 1533-position model. The record is from RNAcentral.
UACGUAGGGUGCGAGCGUUGUCCGGAUUUAUUGGGUUUAAAGGGUGCGUAGACGGCUUUUUAAGUCAGUGGUGAAAGACGGCAGCUUAACUGUCGCAGUGCCAUUGAUACUGGAAGGCUUGAGUAUAGUUGAGGUAGGCGGAAUUUAUGGUGUAGCGGUGAAAUGCAUAGAUACCAUAAAGAACACCGAUAGCGAAGGCAGCUUACUCAACUAUAACUGACGUUGAGGCACGAAAGCAUGGGGAUCGAACAGG